RNAcentral lists this ribosomal RNA (248 nucleotides) under uncultured bacterium. RNAcentral's name for it is "partial 16S ribosomal RNA". It matches the Rfam family "Bacterial small subunit ribosomal RNA", at positions 15 to 237 of the family's 1533-position model. The record is from RNAcentral.
GAUCCUGGCUCAGGACGAACGCUGGCGGCGUGCUUAACACAUGCAAGUCGAACGGAGCACCCUUGACUGAGGUUUCGGCCAAAUGAUAGGAAUGCUUAGUGGCGGACUGGUGAGUAACGCGUGAGGAACCUGCCUUUCAGAGGGGGACAACAGUUGGAAACGACUGCUAAUACCGCAUGAUGCGUAACUGGGACAUCCCGGACGUACGCCAAACGAAUUUUAUUUCGCUGAAAGAAUGGCCGUCCGCG